This 300-nucleotide long non-coding RNA is filed under the name dengue virus type 2. RNAcentral's name for it is "Dengue virus type 2 partial sfRNA1". The stretch from base 156 to 227 matches the Rfam family "Flavivirus DB element". The record is from RNAcentral. Lineage: Riboviria; Orthornavirae; Kitrinoviricota; Flasuviricetes; Amarillovirales; Flaviviridae.
UAGAAGUCAGGUCGGAUUAAGCCAUAGUACGGAAAAAACUAUGCUACCUGUGAGCCCCGUCCAAGGACGUUAAAAGAAGUCAGGCCAUCACAAAUGCCAUAGCUUGAGCAAACUAUGCAGCCUGUAGCUCCACCUGGGAAGGUGUAAAAAAUCCGGGAGGCCACAAACCAUGGAAGCUGUACGCAUGGCAUAGUGGACUAGCGGUUAGAGGAGACCCCUCCCUUACAAAUCGCAGCAACAAUGGGGGCCCAAGGCGAGAUGAAGCUGUAGUCUCGCUGGAAGGACUAGAGGUUAGAGGAG